AGAGGUAGCAUGCAGUAGGUGACCUGCGGAGGAUCAUUA
RNAcentral lists this ribosomal RNA (39 nucleotides) under uncultured Leotiomycetes. RNAcentral's name for it is "partial 18S ribosomal RNA". The record is from RNAcentral. Lineage: Eukaryota; Fungi; Ascomycota; Leotiomycetes.